AUGAGACUUCCCGGAGACUUGAUCUCCCUAAAGGGUCGUUCGAGACCAGGACGUUGAUAGGCUGGGUGUGGAAGUGCAGUAAUGCAUUAAGCUAACCAGUACUAAUUGCCCGUGCGGCUUGUCCCUAUAACCUUGGUUGGUUAUA
Molecule: ribosomal RNA, 145 nt
Filed under: Halorubrum sp. Atlit-28R
Lineage: Archaea; Methanobacteriati; Methanobacteriota; Halobacteria; Halobacteriales; Haloferacaceae
Description: partial 23S ribosomal RNA
Rfam family: Bacterial large subunit ribosomal RNA (bases 1-126)
Source: RNAcentral